RNAcentral lists this ribosomal RNA (301 nucleotides) under uncultured bacterium. RNAcentral describes it as "partial 16S ribosomal RNA". It matches the Rfam family "Bacterial small subunit ribosomal RNA", at positions 509 to 807 of the family's 1533-position model. The record is from RNAcentral.
CAGCAGCCGCGGUAAUACGUAGGGUGCAAGCGUUAAUCGGAAUUACUGGGCGUAAAGCGUGCGCAGGCGGUUUGUUAAGACAGAUGUGAAAUCCCCGGGCUUAACCUGGGAACUGCAUUUGUGACUGGCAAGCUAGAGUAUGGCAGAGGGGGGUGGAAUUCCGCGUGUAGCAGUGAAAUGCGUAGAUAUGCGGAGGAACACCGAUGGCGAAGGCAAUCCCCUGGGCCUGUACUGACGCUCAUGCACGAAAGCGUGGGGAGCAAACAGGAUUAGAUACCCCGGUAGUCCCUGUCUCUUAUAC